Long non-coding RNA from Gallus gallus (chicken), 3297 nucleotides. NCBI's taxonomy places the organism in Eukaryota, Metazoa, Chordata, Aves, Galliformes, Phasianidae. The record is from Ensembl.
CGCUGCCAUUCUUACUGCUUUAUUUUUUCAAACAACAUAGAAGUUAAAGCUUUGUUUAAAAGAACAGCUUUUUCUUGUAGUCGGUGAUGUCUCAUCCACUAUAACAUCAAAAUGUUUCAGUUAGUUGUCGAUCACUAUACAGAUGAGAGGGGAAUAAUUGGCUGCCUUCAACGAGGCACAGAAAUGAAAAUAUUCUCUACAAGCAAAAAAAAAGAUCCUUGGCUCCAUAUCACUGUUUGCUCAACGUUUAUGAUAACUGAGAGAUACCUCUUUGACUAUAAAGCAAUGAAAACUUAAAGUUAUUAUCUACUUCCAGAGGACUGGGGAGCUUAUUUACUGAAUCAUACAGCAAUGUAUCGUUCAGAUAAGUUAGCAUUUGGUCUGGAAAAUUGUGAAAUACGAUAUUUCAACACUUCUCCUCUCCUGCCAAGGGAGCUUCGGAAUCACAGAAGACAGUUUAUUUUGAACAUAUGGAAAAGAUGAGGAAUGUCCUCCCAGAGAUAACCAUCUCUAACCUGCAGUUGACAGGAUCUUCAGACCUUCUCCAGCUAUUAGACGUUACUUUUGUACAUUAGGACAGCGGGAGUCACGUGAGGAGCAACCAUACCUUUAACACCCAUUUCUCUGGCUCAUGAGGACACAGUGCAUCACCAACCAGUGAGCAAGACAGAUCUGAGGAGAUUUUCCAAGUACUUGAUGGCAGCCUUAAGUUAAAUUAAUGCAUCUGAAGGAAGCAAAAGUGUCUCAUUACAAAAAGUGCCAUGGAAAAGGUUGGAUAGUUAAACAGAUGAGCUCUGAAUACUUCUUUCCCUUACAAACUCCAAACACUGUAGGAGUAGAAGCAUUUAACAUGAAGAGAUGAGUUUGCAGUGCAGGGAUGGUCACACCCAGGCAAGGGAGAAGAAGGAAGCAAAUCACAGCAAAUCACAGAAUCUAAUGCAGGUAAAACAAGUUCAAUUAAUUGAAGGCUUAACCUUCUGCCCUCUGGCACUGAUCUCCCUUUCAGCAGUCAGAUAUUCCUGCCUGGACCCGGGCAGUUGGGUGACAAUUUACAGUUCUGCAAGUGUCCAUUGGGAAAAAUGUACUGUGUAUAAAGUAAAAUUAACAGCCUCAGAAGUAAAGGCCCCCUGGCUUUGUCCGCCCAACUGCUUUGAACUAAACUAAGUUCUGGAAAUGUCCCAGGGUAUCAGCUCUGGACAAUAAUGUGCACGAAGAGUUUGAAACCUUCAGUUCUCAUCCCAGAGGAGUCUGAGCCAAGAGCCCCUGGCUUUCUCUGGCCCAACAUCUACAGAGCCAAUGACCCUGACUCCUCAGCUUUCAUCUGUAGCAGCUGUUUUUUCUAACCACCGUCCACCCAAGGAGCAAAAAAGUGACCACUUAACCUACUUACAAAUUCAGAAAAGGAGAUUCAGCACCAAAUGGGCGAACAAAUCUCUCACAAGACAGGAGACUAAAAGCAUCAAUGCAAUCUUGGCCCCUCUUGCCCUCCUAUUUGCAAAGGCCCAUUCUUACAACUGUGGCCAGUAAUUUCUAUGGCCAGCACAAAGGAAGGACUGUGAUGGUGAUGUUUAAUGGGUAACUUCUUUCGCAAGAACUUUAUGAUGUCUUUUGUAGUCAGUGACAGCCUGACCAAAAAUACUCACCCAUAGGUCAAGUACAUUCACCCUUACAGAGGAAGAAGACAUCACAGGUCUCGGCUGAUGGGUUGAGCAUUAACAGUAACACAAUAAAAUAAUGGAUAUAAUGGGAACAAAGUACCAAUUAUAGGAACAUGUCAUAAAAGCAAAUUUAAAGUAAAGUUUCAGUGAGAUUGGAAAGAAUCUAUGGUUGCACCCCUUGGUAUAGAUGAGAAAGGAGGCUAAAAAGGGAGUAAGGGGGAAGCAAGAGGAGGUCUUACACAGUCAGCCACUUUAGCGGUUAUCCUCAGCCUCCUCUAUUUUCUGCAUUUUUUUUUUUUCUGUAAAGAUUUGCUCAUCUGCCUGUUGCAGUGAGGACAAUGUAAGGGGAGAAAACACAAGCCAACUUUCCUUGAGUACAAAUUGUUGCAGAGGGCUCAGGAACAGCUUGGCAGCAGUGAAAGCCCAGGGCAUGCCUCUACCUGUUUGCAGCAAGAUGAUGCUUUUAAUUCCCUCUGUUUACUCUCCCCACUGUUCCCAUCCCCAUAGAAAAAAUAAAAUAAAUGCCUUUGUUAUUUACAGUCUGCGCCAAGGGCAGUCAUCAAGGUUGAUUGUGGGUUUAUUGUUGCCAGCCAGACUCCCUGCUCCAGCAGGUGCCAGGCACCCUGAAUUACUCCCAUUGCACAUCGCUCCAUGGGGCAGUGAGUAAGCUGAUGAAUUCUGCUUGUUUCAUCUGGGAGGCAACUGCCUCCCUUUCUCCACAAGGAACAUCCCACAUAUAAUAAAGGUUUAUAGUCAACCAGAGCAAGACUUCAAACUCAUUCCUUCCAGAUUCAUUCAUGACGAGGGUGGGGAUGCUAGACUGCUCUGCAAUGUUUAACUCAACAAAUACUAAAAUCUCCAGAGCAAUGGCCCUUUAUCACUCCUGGUUGCUGCAGAUACAGAAUCAAAGGGCUAGCAAGCAUGUCCUGUCAGCAUAUGGUUACCCAAACUGAAACUGGAUGCAAGGUAUUUAAUAAAACACAGCUAGGAAAUAAAUGCUAUGUAUGCUAAAAAAAUCAUUACCUUGGUCAACAAACAAACCUUGGAGACUAGAGCGCAGGCCUAUCACAAAUAUUCCAAGUAUUGCUCUGUGAUGUACAGAGAGAAUUACAGCCUAAAAGACAUAGGGAGUUCUUGUCAUGAGCAGAGUGCUGAGUUUUUAGGGUUACACCUAAAGAAAAAUGGGGAGCAACUCUGGAGAGUGUGGGAACAAGAGCGGCCAGAGGUCCUGAAAACAUGAUUAGCAAAGGAAAGCUGCAUGAAUCGAGGGGAUAAAAAAAGAAGACAGGGCAGGAGAGAAGAAAUGUCAAUAAUCUUCAAAUACAUACACAUAAAGAAGCUGCAAAGAGGAAGGGACAGCUGUACUAGCAAUGUCCAGAAAAGACAGAAGUAAUGGGCUCAAACUGCCGCCAAGAAGAUUUAAAACAGACAAGGGUUAGGACAGUGACAGCAAGAGUAGACUGCUGUGAGAGUCUUUAGGGUCUCAGUCAUUAGAGAUCUCUCAAGCAUCUGUCAGCAACAGAGUACUCAUAGUCCAUCCUAAUCUCACAACUCUGCAAAACAGAAAUGAUGUACCAUCAGCCAAGAUUUCAGGUAACAACCUUAGUUUUUAUUCAAAAUGAAAUAUCAUGCAGUAUAG